CAAGCGGUGGAUGAUGUGGAUUAAUUCGAUGCAACGCGAAAAACCUUACCUACGCUUGACAUGUCUGGAAUCCUGAAGAGAUUUAGGAGUGCCCGCAAGGGAACCGGAACACAGGUGCUGCAUGGCUGUCGUCAGCUCGUGUCGUGAGAUGUUGGGUUAAGUCCCGCAACGAGCGCAACCCUUGUCACUAGUUGCUACGCAAGAGCACUCUAGUGAGACUGCCGGUGACAAACCGGAGGAAGGUGGGGAUGACGUCAAGUCCUCAUGGCCCUUAUGUGUAGGGCUUCACACGUCAUACAAUGGUCGGGACAGAGGGUCGCCAACCCGCGAGGGGGAGCUAAUCUCAUAAACCCGAUCGUAGUCCGGAUCGCAGUCUGCAACUCGACUGCGUGAAGUCGGAAUCGCUAGUAAUCGCGGAUCAGAAUGCCGCGGUGAAUACGUUCCCGGGUCUUGUACACACC
RNAcentral lists this ribosomal RNA (461 nucleotides) under uncultured bacterium. Its description in RNAcentral is "bacterial SSU rRNA". It matches the Rfam family "Bacterial small subunit ribosomal RNA", at positions 926 to 1391 of the family's 1533-position model. The record is from RNAcentral.